RNAcentral lists this ribosomal RNA (405 nucleotides) under uncultured bacterium. RNAcentral's name for it is "partial 16S ribosomal RNA". It matches the Rfam family "Bacterial small subunit ribosomal RNA", at positions 29 to 526 of the family's 1533-position model. The record is from RNAcentral.
AUUGACGCUGGCGGCAGGCCUAACACAUGCAAGUCGAACGAGUGGCGGACGGGUGAGUAAUGUCUGGGAAACUGCCUGAUGGAGGGGGAUAACUACUGGAAACGGUAGCUAAUACCCAGACCUGAAGGAGGGGAUUGCGUCUGAUUAGCUAGUUGGAGGGGUAACGGCCCACCAAGGCGAUGAUCAGUAGCCGGUCUGAGAGGAUGAACGGCCACACUGGAACUGAGACACGGUCCAGACUCCUACGGGAGGCAGCAGUGGGGAAUAUUGCACAAUGGGCGCAAGCCUGAUGCAGCCAUGCCGCGUGUAUGAAGAAGGCCUUCGGGUUGUAAAGUACUUUCAGCGGGGAGGCGUUACCCGCAGAAGAAGCACCGGCUAACUCCGUGCCAGCAGCCGCGGUAAUUC